RNA transcript from Zingiber officinale, 6772 nucleotides. RefSeq lists it as uncharacterized. The record is from RefSeq and is a predicted model, not a curated record. The transcript is spliced from 2 exons. NCBI's taxonomy places the organism in Eukaryota, Viridiplantae, Streptophyta, Magnoliopsida, Zingiberales, Zingiberaceae.
CUGCGUCUUCCGCUUGACUACCUGUGCUCCUAAGCUACUGCACACUUAGACACAAGGUUAGAACAACACAGGACCUAACUUAACUUGUUGAUCACACAAAAAUAACCUUGGGGUUCCAACACACAAGACAUAAGCCAAACUGGGAUAUCUUCUUACCCAAAGAAAAGCAAAUAAUUUCUGCGUUUGUUGAAGAGACCCUCAUCUAACAUUUAUAGGAAGAUCUGGGGCUAGACUAUGCAGGAGAUACAAGCCCAGGGAUCACUAUACUCCAAUCCAUAGACUUUACCCUUGAGAAUCCUAUAGAAGAAGAUAGUGAUUUAUCCUAUAUCCAGUAUUUGGCAACACUAAACACUCCCAAAGCAACCAUCUGGGAUGAAUAUGAAGAUGAAAAUCUUUCAGAAGAUUAGAUAAAUCCUUUUUUUACCAUCUCUGAACCACAACAAUUAAUAGCAACUGGGCAUGAGAUGGAGUAUCCAAUACUAAGGCAGUUAUUAGCAAUAGAAUUGCCAGAACCUAGCGAACAACAAGUAUAUUCUACAAGUACAGUCAUAUCACCUUAUCAACCUCCACAAGACACUACUAUGGGACUAUCCGGUUAUCCUCCAGCUAUAAGAGAUCCAGGAACAUCCCAGCCUGUUCAACCAACAUUUCAGCGUGAACAGACAAAGUUAAAGGGUGGUUAUAAUAACGAAAUGUGCAGUUUACCUCCAGCCCAGCAACAAGGAGCCAUUUUUGUCAUUCCAGAACAACUAGGCUUAUUCCAUGAUGUCUUCUCAAGGUGGGAAUCUAUUACUCUCAACCAUGUAGCAGCACAAGGCUUUACUGAUCCUAGUGAAAAAAUUGAAUAUAUGGAAAAUCUGCUAGGAGCGAUAGAAAAGUUAGCCUGGAUACAGUGGAGAAUGACAUACCCCACUGAAUAUGAGGCACUUAUACAAGCUGUUGAAGGAAGAAGAGGAACUCAGAAUAUUAUUUCUCAAAUAAGGAGGGUAUUUUUCUCGGAAGACCCAAUACAAGGAUCCACUGCUAUACAAGAUGAAGCAUACAGAAGCCUAGAGAAAUUAUCAUGUGACAAUGUUAAAAACAUUAUACAAUACAUGAACGACUAUAUGAGGCUUGCUUCAAAAACAGGAAGGCUUUAUACCGGGCGCGAAUUAUCAGAGAAAUUCUGGUUCAAAAUGCUUGGCGAUCUGAGAACCAGAAUUAAAGCAACCUUCGAAGAAAAAUAUACUGGCUUAACAAUUGGCGUUAGUCCAAGAGUUUUAUUCGCUUAUAAGUUUCUACAACAAGAAUGUAAAGAUGUCGCAUUCAAACGAGCUCUCAAAGACUUAUCUUUUUGCAGUCAAAUACCCAUAUCCGGAUAUUAUAAUGGACAAAGCUCAAAGAAAUAUGGUCUUUGAAAAAGCAAAACCUAUAAGGGUAAACCACAUGAUAUCCAUGCACGCAUUGAAAAGAGGAAGCAUAUGCUCAAAAAUAAAAAGUGCAAAUGUUACCUUUGCGGUCAAGAAGGGCAUUUUGCCAGAGAAUGCCCUAAUAAUAAAAGAAGCUCUAAGCGUGUGGCAAUGUUUGAGCAAUUAGACAUCCCCGACGAUUGUGAUAUAUUAUCCGUCCAAGAAGGGGAAGACCAAAGUGAUGCAAUAUUUAGCAUAUCAGUAGGGGAGGAAGAUACUGGCGAUCUCCAAAGGUCAAUACAAACUCUAACCCUCUCUGAAAAUAUUUUUAUGCUUGGGCAAGUUGAUGGGGGAUAUCGUUCCCAGAUAAAGGUUUCAAACGAACAAUACCAGUGCCAACACAAAUGACAUGCUAAUGAAGAUAUUUUCCCUCUACAACCAACAAGGUGCACAGGAUGUAAGAGGGAAACCCUAAAAAGGGCUAGAAUGCACUACUCCAAGUGUCUGAUAACUUCCUGCAACCUUUGUGACCCUUAUUAUUUCAGCAAAAAGGUACCCGUAAUACCUGCUACUCCAGCAUCAUUCUUUCCUAAUAAAUUACUGCAGGAACAACAAAAGUACAUCUCCUGGUGUGAAGCUGAAAUUACGAGACUUCAAGCAGAAGUCAGUUAUUAUAGAAGCUUAUAUGAGCAAAUUCUUUUAGAAAAAGAACUACAAGCAGAUUAUGCAGAACUCCAUAAGGAGGUAGCAUCAGAAGAAGAAACUGCUAAUAUGCUAUACUCUGAGACAACAGAAGGAAUUUCUGCAAUACAUGAAGGCAAAGGCCCAAGACUUAUCAAGAAUAUGUUGUAUAAUUUACAAGUUGAGAUGGACAUUCCAGGUAUUCCUAAGUUUGCCCUUAAAGCAAUAUUAGAUACAGGCGCAACUACUUACUGUGUUGACCAGCAAUCAGUCCCCAAAGAAGCGCUUGAAGAAAAUACUUUCCUCGCCCACUUUAGCGGAAUAAAUUCCCAACAAACAGCCAAAUUAAAGAUGAGACAGGGCCGAAUGACUAUCGGGGACAAUAACUUCCGAAUCCCCUAUACAUAUAGUUUUCCCAUGGUUCUUGGGGAUAAGAUACAGAUGAUUAUUGGCUGUAAUUUUAUCAAAGCAAUGAAUGGAGGGGUCAGGAUUGAAGGUAAUGUAGUUACCUUUUACAAAAAUUUAACUAUUAUCAACACACUUCCCUCCGCAGAUACUGCAGUUGCUAUAAAGGAACUUGACUUAGAAGAAGAAGAAUAUCUUCAUAUUAAAGAAAUCGUCUCAUAUACCACUGGUAAAUCUUCACAAUCUUUUGCUGAGCAAUUUGACCCCUUAUUAAAGGAACUUAAGGAGUAGGGAUUCAUAGGGGAUAAUCCCCUGCAACACUGGUCGAAGAAUAAAAUUUUAUGUUAUCUGGACAUCAAAAAUUCAGAUUUCAUAAUUGAAGACAGGCCACUCAAGAAUCUUACUCCCAAUCAAAAGGCAGCAUUUACACGGAAGCAUUAUUAAAGUUGCACAUUAUUAGACCCAGCCACAGUCGGCACAGAACGACAGCAAUAAUUGUUAAUUCUGGAACAACUAUUGAUCUAGAUACUGGCCGAGAAGUUAAGGGGAAGGAACGAAUGGUCUUCAAUUAAAAAGACUUAAUGCCCUUACAAACAAAGACCAAUACAGUUUACCAGGUAUUAAUACAAUUUUACAAAAGGUCAGUACAAGCUCUAUUUAUUCUAAGUUUGACCUUAAAAGCGGAUUUCAUCAAGUCGCGAUGCACCCGAAGUCUAUUGAAUGGAUGACAUUUUGUGUACCGGAUGGUUUAUUCGAAUGGCUCGUAAUGCCAUUUGGUCUUAAAAAUGCACUUGUAAUUUUCCAGCACAAAAUGGACAAUUGCUUUAAAGGUACUGACGACUUUAUAGCAGUAUACAUUGAUGAUAUUCUUGUUUUCUCCAAAAAUGAAGUAGAGCACGGAAGGCAUCUACAAAUUAUGCUUAGUAUUUGUCUGCAGAAUGCGUUGAUCCUCAGCCCAUCCAAAAUGAAGUUAGCGGUCCUUGAAAUAGAAUUCCUUGGGGCCAUACUCGGAAACAGAAAGAUAAAGCUUCAGCCUUAUAUUAUUACAAAAAUUACAUAAUUUCAAGAUGAGGGCCUGAUGACAAAGAAAGGCAUGCGAUCAUGGUUAGACAUUCUAAACUAUGCUCGUAAUUAUAGUCCUAACCUCGGUAGAUUACUUGGACCUUUAUAUGCAAAAACUAGUCCUACUGGAGAUAAGCAAAUGAAUUUUCAAGAUUGGUCCUUGGUAAAAAGGAUAAAGGAAACAAUUCGAAAUCUUCCUGAUCUGGAGGUCCCUCCCGAAUAUUGUUUUAUAAUCCUUGAGACUGAUGGGUGUGUUGAAGGAUGGGGCGGGGUAUGCAAAUGGAAAAGAUGUAAAUUUGACCUCGAAUCUUCUGAAAGGGUUUGUGCAUAUGCCAACGGUAAAUACUCACCCCUCAAAUCCACAAUAGAUGUGGAGAUACACGUAGUAAUGAACACCCUAGAAUCUCUCAAGAUCUAUUAUCUGAUAAGCGGGAGCUGAUCAUUCGAACGGAUUGUCAAGCAAUUAUAAGUUUCUUUAGCAAAACUGCUUCCAACAAACCUUCCAAAAUAUGGCGGUUGGCUUUCACCGAUUAUAAUCAUCAACAACCCAGCUUGGAAGCGGAGAAGGAGAUUCUGAAGGUAUUCAACAACCUCUCCAGCUGGCUGAGCAAUACCAAAAGCUACUACAGCGGCAGUACCCAAUAUCCCUGGACGAAGACCAAAGGAUCCGAGAUGAACUGCACAACAUCCAACAAAGAGCUACUGUACAAGCCACGAAUGCACUCCAGCAACUCCGAAUACUGCACUCCCUCAAGUUACGAGAAUGUCAACAGAUAAGCACAAAGGACAACUGGUGGUCAGGAUGACUUCCCAUCACACGUCAAGUGGACCACCAGCUGGAACUGAGAGCUGGCUUACUUAGUGACGCAGUAAGGCGGAUGAAUAAUUUCAGGGUCUGACCCAGUGAAGACCUUUAUGUGCUGGAACCUUAUCCUACUUUACUUUAUAUCAAGUUGUGUCUAAAAGCAAGGAAUCUUAUCUUGCUUUUGUAUUGUAAAAGCUUACUUUAAGAGCUGUAAAAUAAGCACUAUGAACACCUCACAAUAUUCGUUCUUAUCAGAUAAGGAAAGCAUCUUGCGAUGGGACCCAAUGAGCAUCCGAGGAGCUUUCUCAUCUAUAUAAGACUUUUUCGUGCUCCUUUGCAAGGCAUUCAAGCGUCACUCGAGCCUUACCUAGGAGAAGGUCUAAGAGUCUGAGAGCCUGUAAAAAUCUUUGAGGUGUGAAAUAAGAAGGGUUUGCAUCUUUUAAAAAACAAAAACCAAAGAGAAGUAGCCAUGCAGGAAAUGAUCCUCUCCAACACUGAUCCAAGAUUACCCACUCAAACUUUAGCUGCUGCAGCAGAAGCUGCUGCCCUCUCAGCAACAAUUUGCUCAUACAAAUCUCUAAUCUUCAAUCCAACAAUGGUUUGGAAGAGUCCAGUGCCAUUGUUGCUGCCCGGGAAGUCUGAGUGCUUCAACAUCUGCUGCGUCACCUCGCCAUAAAACUUGGUCGAUAAGUUGCUGAGAUGGCUCUCCACAUAGAUCAGCUCGUCCAACCUGUCAAACUUCCCAUCCAUCUCCACAACAGAAACCUGCCAAAGAGUGAUCAUCUCCCGGCUUUAGCUGUUGGAUUGGGAAUCAAAAAGUGUUCAGCUUGGUUAACUAACUAUAAUUGUACCUCGUUGGAGAAGUAAGUCUCAGGGCCAUAGAAGAACUUGAUGCCAGGGUAUGAGCAAGUCAGUUUCCUGCCGCAAGGAAUCCAUGAGAUAGUGGAGCCUUCAUCGAAGAGGUAGAUGGGAGCGAAUCGCUUCACCCCUUCCUUCAUGAUCAACCUCACACGCAGCACCUUCCCCUCGUCGUCAUCAGGGAUUAGCUGUGUCGGUAGGACUUCAAUCACAGCAUCAGCAUAUUGCUUCUGUGGAUCUGCCAACAAGCACAAAAUAGAGGAGCAGCUUUUGUGGGUUCGACUAUUGCAACCAAAUGGACUAGAUGAAUGUACCAAUGUAAGCAUCAAAAUCGGGUUUUCGAGCUUCAAUGCUAGCUUUGAUGCUUUCAAGACUGUGCCCCCGUUCCGCCAUAUCUCUCUGAGAUUGAGAAGAUAAAAUGAGCAACAUUAUGAAAGCUCACAGUAUCUGAAAAUUGGAUUGAAUUUACUUACCUGAAUUUUCCAGGCAAACUUGACCUCGUUACUGAUAUCCAAGUAGAUGCUGAAGUCCAAGAGAUCUCUCACACGAGAGUCGUACCUGUUCGAUAAUGAAGUUGCAAUCACACUCUUAAAACACUGCAUGAUCGCUGAUAUCAUCACACUAUUUUUGUUGUUGAACUGAAAAGAAUCUCAGCAUGGAUCUUUUUCUUCUAUAUGGAUAGUACUCAUUCAAAGAUUAAUAUCUACGAGAAGGAAAACUGAAAGUUUAAUGUCUGCAGAGAACAAUGAAUAGGAUGAUUGAUAUUCACAUGUUAGCAUAGGAUACAGAAAAAAGGAAGAAAAAAACAACUAUAUUGGGAGCUCACAUAGGGUGCAAUCCUUCAAUGACCAGGAUCUUGGGUGGCUUGAUGAGCUCAGGGGGGUCGAGCAGACCAGUGACAUGGUUGUAGAUGGGCUUCUCCACGGCCACUCCAUCCUUGAUCGCCUUCACCUGCUCAUACAUGAGGUCGAAGUCGUUGGCCCUCGGGUCCAGUGCAGUCACCCCCUUCUCCUUCCUUCCUGUCCUGUCCAGGGAGUGGUAGUCGUCAAGGCAUAUCACAGUGGUGGUGUCGCUGAUCAAGGUAUUGGAGUCUGGAUUCCCUCCCCUGGGUGGCUCUGCUGCUCCCCCAAACACACUUGUCAGCCUCCUCAUAAAGGUGCUCUUACCACACCCUGAGUCGGCUGCCAGCCCUAUCACCACUGUCUUCUCAGCAGAGCACACCACUGCACUCCUCCUUCCGCUGCCGAAGAAGAUGAGCUGCUGAUGCCUCUGGUGGAAGCCCAAGCUGAAGGCCUUAGCAGCUGGCCUUGAUAUAGAGCAGGAAUAAGGAGCGGUGUGGAUUGUGCAGCUGGCCAUCUCCCCUUUCUUUGCUCUGCUCGUCUCCCCUACAAAAAUUUGUAGGCUGUUGAAGCUUAGGGAGGCAUCGUAAGGAUAAAGGUGGAGGAGGUGUGUGGUUUGCGAGGCACCUCUUCAUCAUUUUUUUUUAAAUUUAAAAUUAUUUUAAAUGUUGUUACUUAGCGGUAAUUCAUGAUAGUGAUUGGUCUGAGAUCAUCUAGAGGUAAUUUUUGCUUUA